GCCAAAGCCCCCUUCAUCGGCACAUUAAAAAGUGGAAUUAUACAGAGAAGAUUGUCAUGGCCCCUGAACAAGGGUAACAUGCAAAUUCAUGAAAUAUUCCUUUUUGUG
This is a small nuclear RNA of Fukomys damarensis (Damara mole-rat), 108 nucleotides long. The record is from Ensembl. NCBI's taxonomy places the organism in Eukaryota, Metazoa, Chordata, Mammalia, Rodentia, Bathyergidae.